GAUGAACGCUAGCGGGAGGCCUUACACAUGCAAGCCGAGCGGUAUUUGUUCUUCGGAACAGAGAGAGCGGCGCACGGGUGCGGAACACGUGUGCAACCUGCCUUUAUCUGGGGGAUAGCCUUUCGAAAGGAAGAUUAAUACCCCAUAAUAUAUUGAGUGGCAUCAUUUGAUAUUGAAAACUCCGGUGGAUAGAGAUGGGCACGCGCAAGAUUAGAUAGUUGGUGAGGUAACGGCUCACCAAGUCAAUGAUCUUUAGGGGGCCUGAGAGGGUGAUCCCCCACACUGGUACUGAGACACGGACCAGACUCCUACGGGAGGCAGCAGUGAGGAAUAUUGGACAAUGGGUUAGCGCCUGAUCCAGCCAUCCCGCGUGAAGGACGACGGCCCUAUGGGUUGUAAACUUCUUUUGUAUAGGGAUAAACCUACUCUCGUGAGAGUAGCUGAAGGUACUAUACGAAUAAGCACCGGCUAACUCCGUG
RNAcentral lists this ribosomal RNA (479 nucleotides) under uncultured bacterium. Its description in RNAcentral is "partial 16S ribosomal RNA". It matches the Rfam family "Bacterial small subunit ribosomal RNA", at positions 28 to 507 of the family's 1533-position model. The record is from RNAcentral.